This 666-nucleotide ribosomal RNA is filed under the name Triticum aestivum (bread wheat). RNAcentral describes it as "partial small subunit ribosomal RNA". The record is from RNAcentral. Lineage: Eukaryota; Viridiplantae; Streptophyta; Magnoliopsida; Poales; Poaceae.
AUGAGACGACUCGCCGGCGGCGCCGCGCUGGUCCUCCUCCUCCUCCUGGCCAUCACCGCCAGACCUGCCGCCGCCGACUUCUUCUCCCCUCUCAGCCCCCUCCUCGCCCCCGUCAUGGGAUCGCUGUGCAAGACGGUGGCGUGCGGGAAGGGGAACUGCACGGUGACGACGGGGCUGCCGGGGUACAGGUGCGACUGCGAGCCCGGGUGGAAGCAGAUGCACGUCGGCGACAGCCUCAGGUUCCUGCCCUGCGUCAUCCCCAACUGUACCAUUGAUCACACAUGUUCUAACGACACUUCAGCCCCAACACCGGCGCCUUCACCCAAAAAUGUCUCCGUCUCAGCAAACCCUUGUGACUUAGCUUACUGUGGUUCCGGGGGCACAUGCAAGAACGCCACCGGGCUCAGCUACCACUGCGAGUGCAAGGAGGGCUUCAGCAAUGUUCUGAACAUGACCACAAUGCCUUGUUUUCAAGACUGUUCUUACGGAGCGGAUUGCGCAGCCAUCGGGAUCGUACCAUCCACAAACUCCAGUUCUACAGCACCACCAGCUGGCUCUGCAAGUGUUUCAAACAAUUGCAAUGCACCUGUUCCAGGAUCUGUUUUGCGGCAAAUUCUGCUUCCUCUGCUGAUAUUGGCCUCACUGGCCAUGGGUCAGGCGACAUGA